RNAcentral lists this unclassified non-coding RNA (453 nucleotides) under uncultured fungus. Its description in RNAcentral is "sequence contains ITS1, 5.8S rRNA gene, ITS2 and 28S rRNA gene". The stretch from base 214 to 368 matches the Rfam family "5.8S ribosomal RNA". The record is from RNAcentral. Lineage: Eukaryota; Fungi.
GGAAGGAUCAUUACUGAGUCGUCGACACGAGUUGUUGCUGGUCCCCACAUGGGGGCAUGUGCACGCUCUGUUUACACAUCCACUCACACCUGUGCACCCUCUGUAGUUCUAUGGUCUGGGGGACCCUGUCUUCCUUCUGUGGUUCUGCAUCUUUACACACACACUGUAAUAAAGUCAUAUGGAAUGUACACCGCGUUUAACGCAAUACAAUACAACUUUCAGCAACGGAUCUCUUGGCUCUCGCAUCGAUGAAGAACGCAGCGAAAUGCGAUAAGUAAUGUGAAUUGCAGAAUUCAGUGAAUCAUCGAAUCUUUGAACGCACCUUGCGCCCCUUGGAUAUUCCGAUGGGCAUGCCUGUUUGAGUAUCAUGAACACCUCAACUCUCAUGGUUUGCCAUGAUGAGCUUGGACUUUGGGGGUUUUGCUGGCCUAUGGUCAGCUCCUCUCAAAUAAA